Molecule: ribosomal RNA, 253 nt
Filed under: uncultured bacterium
Lineage: Bacteria
Description: partial 16S ribosomal RNA
Rfam family: Bacterial small subunit ribosomal RNA
Source: RNAcentral
UACGAAGGGGGCUAGCGUUGCUCGGAAUCACUGGGCGUAAAGGGUUCGUAGGCGGUGUGGCAAGUCGGGAGUGAAAUUUCUGGGCUCAACUCAGAGACUGCUUCCGAAACUGCUGUGCUUGAGUGUGGGAGAGGCGCGUGGAAUUGCAGGUGUAGCGGUGAAAUGCGUAGAUAUCUGCAGGAACACCCGUGGCGAAAGCGGCGCGCUGGACCACUACUGACGCUGAGGAGCGAAAGCGUGGGGAGCAAACAGG